UCAUUGUAAAAAUGCAUUUUCUCAGGACUGUUAAAUAAAAUGUUCUGGGUCUCAUUUAUUCAGAUGGAUGAAAUCAAAGCCAAGGACAGGAUCAUUUUUUCCCUGGAAAAGGAGCUGGAAACCCAGACAGGUUAUGUACAGAAACUGCAGCUGCAGAAAGAGGCUUUGGAUGAACAGCUCUUCUUGGUGAAGGAGGCUGAGUGUAACAUGAGCAGUCCGAAGCGGGAGAUCCCAGGAAGGGCAGGAGACGGCUCUGAACACUGCAGCAGUCCCGAUUUACGAAGAAAUCAAAAAAGAAUAGCUGAAUUGAAUGCCACUAUAAGAAAAUUAGAGGACAGGAAUACCCUGCUUGGAGAUGAACGAAAUGAAUUGUUAAAACGUGUGCGGGAGACUGAAAAACAAUGUAAACCUCUCCUGGAAAGAAACAAGUGCCUCGCCAAAAGAAACGAUGAACUGGUGGUGUCUUUGCAGCGCAUGGAAGAGAAACUAAAAGCCGUUACCAAGGAGAAUUCAGAAAUGAGAGAAAAAAUAACAUCUCACCCACCUUUGAAAAAAUUAAAAUCUCUAAAUGACCUCGACCAAGCUAAUGAAGAACAAGAGACAGAGUUUCUGAAACUUCAGGUCAUUGAGCAACAGAACAUUAUUGAUGAGCUCACAAGGGUAGGUAGCGAUCCAUUUGUAAGCUCUAAGCUUUCUCAAGCACAGGUAGCCAACAAACCAACA
This 723-nucleotide long non-coding RNA is filed under the name Chinchilla lanigera (long-tailed chinchilla). RNAcentral describes it as "lncRNA (ENSCLAG00000025056.1)". Lineage: Eukaryota; Metazoa; Chordata; Mammalia; Rodentia; Chinchillidae. The record is from RNAcentral.